RNAcentral lists this ribosomal RNA (501 nucleotides) under Texoreddellia aquilonalis. RNAcentral's name for it is "partial large subunit ribosomal RNA". It matches the Rfam family "Archaeal large subunit ribosomal RNA", at positions 1921 to 2669 of the family's 2987-position model. Lineage: Eukaryota; Metazoa; Arthropoda; Insecta; Zygentoma; Nicoletiidae. The record is from RNAcentral.
GGUUUUUUGGUUAGGAAUUUAAAGUUUGACCUGCCCAAUGAUGAAUUUAAUGGCCGCGGUAUUGUGACCGUGCAAAGGUAGCAUAAUCAUUAGUCUUUUAAUUGAGGGCUUGUAUGAAUGGUUGGACGAGGAGGGGACUGUCUUCAAAUGAAGUUUUUUUAUUUGAAUUUUACCUUUAAGUGAAAAGGCUUAAAUGGUCUUGAGGGGCGAUAAGACCCUAUAGAUCUUUACAUUAUAGCAGCAUUAGGAUGUAAUGAGGUGUUAUGUUAGGUUGGGGCGACAGGAAGAGAAGUAUAACUUUUUAGGUGUAGGAUUACUGUUUUGUAUAUUGAAGAUCCACGAUUAUAGUGAUUAUGAGACUAAGUUACCUUAGGGAUAACAGCGUAAUCUUUUUUGAGAGUUCAUAUCGAGAGAAGGGAUUGCGACCUCGAUGUUGGAUUAAGGUUUCCUUGUGGUGCAGAAGUUGCAAGGGAAGGUCUGUUCGACCUUUAAAUCCUUACA